Carassius gibelio (silver crucian carp) is the source of this 2638-nucleotide long non-coding RNA. RefSeq lists it as uncharacterized. The transcript has 10 exons. Lineage: Eukaryota; Metazoa; Chordata; Actinopteri; Cypriniformes; Cyprinidae. The record is from RefSeq and is a predicted model, not a curated record.
AAUAAUUAUUAAUAAUAUCCCAGACAGCACAUGUACGUCUGGCCGACGUCGGCCCAAUAUCGAAACGUCGGCCUCUAUACCUAAAACAUCUAUAAAACAUCGGCCUGGCGGAGGCCGAUAUCAUUUGGUCAGUGCUCUGUUCUCCAGCUCAUCAGUCGUCGGCCCUGAGUUGGUUCACGACCGCGGGCCGAUGCCGCGCUUAUCUGUGUGCGCGUGCCCAGUAUUCGUCUCUUUUAGCCACCCAGAGAGAGAGAAGAGGAUAAUCCCAGCGACAUCUGUGGCUCUGAGGCUUCCAGAAAUAAUCCGGUGAAAUAAUAUGAUGUUUGUUUGUGUGAAUGCUGUGUGUGCGGUGAGUCCUGCGCGAGCGGGGAGCAGAGUUGCCAUGGAAACGGGGCGUCAACACAAAAACCGUUAACGUUACUGGCAAACAGUAAUCUCCGUCUCUCGCUGCGGUUUACACUGUUUUAGAAACGGUUUAGUGUCUUCGGAAAAGUCCGUUAUCAUUUUAGCAGUUUUCAGGUAACGUUAGGCUAACUCUAUAGACUGAGCUCUUGUUGAUGAAACUCUGGGCUUUUAAUCAAAUCUUCGAUUUGAUUAAAACAAAAUGAUUUUUAAAUUAAUUAUUGAAUGAUUAUUGAACGAGACUGUACAUUAUAAAUGUAAUGUUUUAACUCUAGAUGUUUGUUUGUGUAAAUGCUGUGUGUGCGGUGAGUUCUGCGCGAGUGGGGAGCAGAGUUGCCAUGGAAACGGGGCGUCAACACAAAAACCGUUACUGGCAAACAGUAAUCUCCUUCUCUCGCUGCGGUUUACACUGUUUUAGAAACGGUUUAGCGGUUCCGUUAGCAUUUUAGCAGUUUUCAGGAGGACAGAAAGAAACUCUACAGAACAGAAGUGAAGCUCCAAGAUUUCAACAUUUAUGAAGGGAGAUACUGACUUAGAAAUACAGGUGAACUGAAGAAGCUCAUGAAAUACAUGAAUAUGCCUUUUUCAGAAUACAUUUCACCAAUUUUAAGAAGUCCCUGACAUCAUGACCUUGUUUCCUUCUAAUGAACCUGGAACUGCAGAGUAAAUAUUGUUGACUCUGUGUCAGAUUGCUUGUUUUGUUCCUGGACUCUUCAGUGAUGACGAUCAGAGUCUGAGUGAACCUGCUGUCAGACAGGUUGGCCUGAUUGACGAUGCCAUCGUCCAUCGCCGAUGGCUGAUAGACAUCACGAUGCUGCGCCGGCAAACAGCGUCAUCAGCUCCAGUAUCUCGCCCGUGCAUCUGUUGUCAUGCGACAAAGAAGUCACGUUCUAUAGAGAGUUUCUACAGACAGUUGUGAACGUGCUGACAGCUGGUUGCCCAGGCUAUGGAUUAAAGGUAAUACUGUUGGCCAGCAGAGCCCUGCUCACCCUGACGGCCCACCGCUGCUGUCAGACAACAUCUCAAAGAUGCUAUAAACUGCAGGACUAGAUCGCCAUCCCAAGGUUUCUAGAGAUUACAGCAGCUCCAGACUGAAUCCAAACUCACUUUUGAAGACUUCAGAUGACACCAACGCUCACAAAGACUACAGACGACAACUGUACAUGAACACACAAAACAAUUAUUAUCCUUAUUUUGCCUAUAAGGGUAAAUUUGAUGAUUUUCAAACUGCUUUAUUGUAACGUCUCUUAUAUCUGUAAAUGAACAAUAUUUACUCUCUGAGUUAUGUGGACCUACAUGUCCCCUUUUAUUUGUAAGCAUCACUUUAAAAAUGUUGAAAGAUAAUGUUAAUGUUAACUGAAUACAAAACUAGACUUGUUUAGUAAGAUUUUAUCAGAAAAUAUUUUUGAACUUUUAUCAUGCAAUUUAAAACAUUUUAAUUGCUUAAUUAGGAAACACUUUAGAAUAAGGUUCCAUUAGUUAAUGUUAGUUAAUGUAUUAAUUAACAUGAACAAACAAUGAAUAAUACAUUUAUUACUGUAUUUAUUCAUCUUCGUUAAUGUUAGUUAAUGAAAAUACAGUUAUUCAUUGUUAGUUCAUGGUAAUUCACAGUGCAUUAACUAAUGUUAACAAGCACAACUUUUGAUUUAAAUAAUGCAUUAGUAAAUGUUGAAAUUAACAUGAACUAAGACUUAUAAAUGCUGUAGAAGGAUUGUUCUUGCUUAGUUCAUGUUAACGAAAGUAGUUAACUAACAUUAACUAAUGGAACCUUAUUCUAAAGUGUUACCCUUAAUUAUUGUUAACCUGGUUUUAUUUUGUGUUUAUGUAACUUUUUAAAAAGUUCUUGGCAUAAAGUUUGCAUGCGAUGCUGACAGCACUGAACACAUGACUUUUUAUUAUGAACUAGAUGGUCUUCCCAGUGAGUCUCAGUCAUCUCUGGCUUUUUAAACUGUAACCUUGAAACAUGCAUUUCCUGUAAACCUACUUUGAAAUAAGUAUUGUCAAAAGGUGCUAUACUCAUACAACAUUUAACCAUGCAAGUACUGUAGUAAUGGUUAUUUUUGUUUUUACUAUGGUUUUACUGCAAAAGCUGUAGUAAAAUCAUGGUUAAUGUUCAAAAGACUACAAAUAAUCCCGAAUUAUCCACUUUUGAUCAAAGCAUCUGGUAAAUGUUAUUGUAUUUGUACAUGUAAUAUGAAAUAAAUGAAAAUAUUAAUAAAGUUGCGUCUGUUCUUGA